This 1223-nucleotide ribosomal RNA is filed under the name Pseudodiplogasteroides compositus. Its description in RNAcentral is "eukaryotic LSU rRNA". It matches the Rfam family "Eukaryotic large subunit ribosomal RNA", at positions 367 to 1417 of the family's 3401-position model. Lineage: Eukaryota; Metazoa; Nematoda; Chromadorea; Rhabditida; Diplogasteridae. The record is from RNAcentral.
CAAAGAACUUUGAAGAGAGAGUUCAAGAGGACGUGAAACCACAAGGGGCGAAACGGAUAGAGUUGACGAGACCGGCGGUGAUCAGUGCUGUUGAGGGCUCGGCCGUGCGAUCGGCUCCUGAUGAGGAGUCGCGUGCGGUUUGGGUGAGAACUUGACGGUGCGCAUUCACUGUCGGUAUACGCUGAGACGCUCGGCGUUCCCUUCUGAACCGUGCCGUGUGGCCCACCUCGGUGGUAACCUGUGGUGCGGGGAGGUUGUUGUGAGCGGUGAGCGGCUGGUUCGGGCCUCGCCUUUGCGCGGAGCUUACGGACGCUCGUCUGCGGCGUUGUCGGUCGCGUGCGACUGCCGGCGUUUGUGGGUCUGUGUUCGUGAGCGCUGCUAUCAGGCUUGCUCUCGGUGUGAAAGUCGACCACCUAUCCGACCCGUCUUGAAACACGGACCAAGAAGUCUAGUAUGUGCGCGAGUCAAUGGGUGUUAAACCUACUGGCGAAAUGAAAGUAAAGGCCGGCUCGACUGGCUGAUAUGUGAUCCGUGGCUGCGGCCGCGGCGCAACAUAGCCCCAUGCCGACUGCUUGCAGUGGUGUGGAGGUAGAGCGUACAUACUGGGACCCGAAAGAUGGUGAACUAUGCCUGAGCAGGACGAAGCCAGAGGAAACUCUGGUGGAGGUCCGAAGCGGUUCUGACGUGCAAAUCGAUCGUCUGACUUGGGUAUAGGGGCGAAAGACUAAUCGAACCAUCUAGUAGCUGGUUCCCUCCGAAGUUUCCCCCAGGAUAGCUGGAGCUUAUUGCUGUUAUAUUCGGUAAAGCGAAUGAUUAGAGGACUUGGGGACGAAAUGUUCUCAACCUAUUCUCAAACUUUCAAUGGGUACGAUGUCGCGGUUGCUUGCGUGAACCGUGACUGCGAAAGCAAGCUCCAAGUGGGCCAUUUUUGGUAAGCAGAACUGGCGAUGCGGGAUGAACCGAACGUUGAGUUAAGGUGCCUAACUCUCCGCUCAUGAGACCCCAUAAAAGGCGUUAGUUGAUAUAGACAGCAGGACGGUGGCCAUGGAAGUCGGAAACCGCCAAGGAGUGUGUAACAACUCACCUGCCGAAUCAACUAGCCCUGAAAAUGGAUGGCGCUUGAGCGGGGGACCUAUACUCGACCGUUGUUGGCUUGUACGAUCGGUAACGUCUGGCCUCAACGAGUAGGAGGGUCGCAGCGGUUAGCGUAGAAGGCUUUGGGC